This is a long non-coding RNA of Harpia harpyja (harpy eagle), 7399 nucleotides long. RefSeq lists it as uncharacterized. The record is from RefSeq and is a predicted model, not a curated record. The transcript has 4 exons. Lineage: Eukaryota; Metazoa; Chordata; Aves; Accipitriformes; Accipitridae.
UUCUUUAUGUGAUAAUAGACAUAAUUAAUUUGGUGUAUAAGUUGCUUUGUUGCCUUUGAAGUUAAGUAAAAAAUGAGAUGUUAAGACUGCAUUAGUGAUAUUUAAUUGGAAACCAUUAUAAAAAAUAAACUACAUACACGGUAGUCCCAGGAAAUAGAAAAGAGAGAGUAUAUGUUUAACUGAAGAUACUAACAAUUUGUGGUUGAAUGUUUUGCUUUAAUAGCUGUAAGAGUGGCAGCAGUGAUUGCGAGCACAAUGGAGAGAAGGCAGAGCGACACAGAAAGGGCAGGGCUGAGCUAUUUGAAGGUGAUUGACAAGAAUAGUUACGUGAAAUUUCUUUACAGGUCAUGCAAACAGACAGAAUGAAACCAUUGCUCUUGGAGAUAGUGCAAGUGUUUCAUUUUGCUUAUUUCAUCUUUUCUAGUCCUAUAAUAAAUAGUGGUUAAUACCUUGCAAAGGAUGUUAGGUUCAGCCAUGUGCCUCUGCACCUGGCUUAGUAGAUAUUUGGAAGAUAGAAGAAGAUGUUAGCAUGUUUAAUGGUUUUUAACAUACAGCACUGCUUAUCAGGAGCCUAUUCUGAAAAAUGACAUGCCAGAGACCUGGCAUUCUCCUGUGCAUCAACUGGACAGCCUGGAAAAUCUAAUCUGUGAUACCAGUAUUAUAAAUCAGAUAUUACUCUCAGGUAUUAUCAAUUGAUUAUCAGCUCAGUCCUGUGUAAGGUAAAAUUUGGCCGUUUAUUAAAAUGAGUAGGUUUCCGGCUUGCCUUUUCUCUCAGAAAUAGCCUAAUUUAAGUCUUCAGCUGUUAGAAGAAAGUUCUGCUUUGUUUUCAACCAGGAGGUUAAAGCAGCUGCAGCAGAAGAGUAUGUGGAAGGAGAGGAGAAAGGAUGGAGUUGACUUCCCUCAGGUGGAACAGGCCAGCCUAGUAAAACCAGUAAUUCCCCCCAAUAAUAGUGGUUUAGGCAAGGUAAAAAAUGGGUGCUAGAUAUAUUGCUAUACUGUUGUGGUGAACUGGAUGCUUUCAUUUAUAUUGGAUGGCAGUUAGGUAAAGCCGGCUGUGUAAGUGAAGAGAUUACAGCGAUGCCUACAAAGGGAUGAAAACUAAAGCUUUUAUUCAGCCUGAAUUUGCAAGGAAACAGUGUGGAUUAUAAUACUGAGAUUCCCUUUUCCCCCUCCUACACCUUUCUUGACAGUGAAGACACACACCAGGUUCAUUCUUGGUCAAGUAUGUGCCCGCAAACCUCACCAAUCUGGGUGGAAGAAAGAGGGGGUACUGUUGAGGAGUAAACAGAAGAUGCCUGUGGUCACCUUUAAAUUACUGUUAUGGUGAAAUGUGCUAAUAGCUGCCAUCAAGUGAGCCUUUGAUCCAAAGACAAUAAUAGAUCUCAUUAUAAUCAGCGGGUUUGCCAAACACUCCUUUUCAGGCUCUGAAGAAGAAGCAACUGAGCCUCUUUAAAUAGCAGAGACAAUGGAGGGAUUUCAGACAGCACAUGCCAGGUCAGAGCUGAGCAUGUAGGCAGGGGGAUUUCCUUGGUGGCACACAGGGGAUGGGAUAUUGGAUUUGCAGUUGCUGAGCGUCCAGUGGCAGCAAAGCCACCCAAAAUCCAGGAGAAGCAGUUGUGAGCAGAGCUGGGACGGCAGGAGUGGGACCAAGGGUCUCGGGUGUGGAGCUCAGUGGUGCUGGACGGUGAAUUCUGGGUACAGACACUGUGUACAGAAACCCCCUCCAUGUUCAGGGAAACACACCUCUGGCUUGGCGAAAAAAGGAGAAGUCAAAACACAACCUAGGGAUCACUGUACUGUGUCACUGUUUUCUCAUCUGGAGCAGUCCUGGGGGGAACUGAAUCCUGUCUAACUGCUAAGACCAAAGGAGGAACAGCGAUGUGCCUGAAAACCAGUGAAGUCUGUGGAAGACUCCUCUUGCCUUUUGUGAGCUCUGGAUCAGGGAAACGACUCAUAAAAUGCUUAUCUUGUUACUGCAAACUACAUCCCAUAUUCUUCAAGGUUCACAGGAAUGGAAACUUCAGGAGAGCCUGUGGGAAAGGGUGAAUUCUGCUGCAGCCGUUCUACAUCAAAAGAAGGCCCUUCUCAGUGACAGAUCCUUGUGCUACCAAUGGCACUGGAGCAUGAGCAUGUCUGAGUGUUUGUAUAAAUAAUAGCUGUGGGAAUGGGAGGGAGCAGUGGCAGAUAGUCAAGGAGUUCAGUGGAAGUCAAAAUUAAGUGGGAAUUUUGAGGCUUAUUUGAUGUAACACUUGGCUUUGAGGAUGGAGGAAGUUGGACUUGAAGCAAACCUGCAAAUUACAACCCAGCCUCAUUAGAAAUUAGCUGGUAGUAAUCAGAGAGCUUUAACUGAGUGUAAAAAUAUCUAAUCUAGAGAUGUGGGGUUCUGUUGGGUGACUAUUGCUCAUUCUCUCAUAGACUGAAUUAGCUAACAAAAACAAAUCCGUCAAUACAUCCAAUAUAAAUUUUCAGCUUACCUCUGCUGAGCUUUGAUUUAUCACCAAUAUCCAAAAUGAAGCAAGGUUUGUCUUGGAACAGUUUACACAGGACUAACAUUCAUGCGAUCCUGACUUUCACUGAAAUGAGUAUAACUGCUAGUCUGUAGAUGUGAUGAGAAAAUAAUUUAUCUAGAGCCAUUUCAUCCACUUCGUGUAUGGAAGUUAAAAACACAAUCUCCAGUGAGACUCUGUGUAAAACUGCAAAUUUUAGGUCUAUUGAAUUAGUUUAGCUUUUCCUUGAUCUAGCUGAGGCUGAACAUUGGCCUACAUACGAUCUUUUUAUAUUUUUAGUAUUUAGUUUACACCCAUCACUCAGAAGUAUAAAGCUCAUCUGCUAAUGUAGGUUUAUUAAAAAUUGCUGGAGUCCAAGGAUGAGAUUUUGGUUGUGUUAGUAAAGUAAAUGGCAAAAUCCACAAGAAGGGACUAGAAUUUUACUGUAUAAACCUGAUUUUUAGGAGAUUGAAAAAUUAGAGUAAAACCAGUAUAAAUAUCGGUCUCAAGUGUUUCAAAGAGGUAAGAGCUGCAUGAAUGAAGUCCAUCCAAACCAGUGAAAAAAGCCUAUUAUCUUCAAUGGGUUUUGUGUCAGAUACUCUGAAAAAAAGGAGCUCAAACAAUAUCUUUAGCAGCAUUGACAAUUUCUAUUUAAAUGGAUUAUUUCCAGAUCAAGCUAUUUUUUUCAAUAAACUAGAAGUUUCUAGCCAGGAGAGAAGUUUCUAAACCAAGGUCUUAUCCUAGGCAUCAAGUUAACUUAUGCUUCUUUCCUUCAAGAUAGCCACAAACAUUUUUGUAUUAAGAAAUUAGCGAGAUUCUUAGCUGAAUAAUGUACAACAUGGUGAAGUUGUAAGGGCAUCUUUGACAAAGGCUAUUGCCUUUUCUUCCUUCGGGUCUGCCUCAUCGAUGGCUAAACUAGCUUACUGUAGAGCAUGCAGACAUGGGAAGCACUGAGGUGUCCAAAGCUGGAAGGACAGGAUUUAAACAGAUGGGAAUAUACACGUUCAGAUGGGGCAUUGAGAGAGACAUCUGACUCAUGUCGCAUUGUAAGACAGAGCGCGUGGCUCUGAAGAGCCAAAACAGCUUUAAAAAAUGCUAGCAGUCUAAAGUCCCAGCGAUUUUUGCAAGCUGGAAGAGGAGCCCUUGGGCAGCUCAUCGGUGUGGGAGAGUGGGGAGGCUGCCCCAGCCCAGAGCCCAUUGCCCGUGUGGGUCACGGGGCCGCGGUGGGGCUGGGAGUGGGACGGUCCGAGGCAGGCGGGAGCAGUUCCCCGAAGCCUCCGGCCAGUGAGAAAUGGCUGAUUCAUGACGUGUUCCUGGGGCCUCUGCAUUACACCCUGCUGGCCUGGCACCAAAAUGCAAGAGGCUUUGCCGUCUGCAUCCUCUUGUCACCACACUUCGGUGGCCAAAUCCCACGGACUUUGUUUAAGCCUUGCUCAGAUGAACUACGCAUUGAGUCAGUGGAAACCUUUUCCAAGCAGCGCUUGAAGAAGGAAGUUGAAGAAGGUAUUGCCAAGGGGACGGAUGGACUGGGUGACCUCAUCGACCUUUUCCACCUAACGCUUUAAUGGACAGAAAAAUACCAUGCGGGAGCCUGCAGUGCUUUGGGAAAGAGGAGCGAGCACACUGCUAAAGUAGCAGUGCUGGAAGGCAUUAGGGCUUAGGGUGGUUUAAUUAUCCUGGUGCUGCUGCUGGGAAGUAAUCCUUGCUUCGUUGAUGCACAGGUCCCUUCGGCACACGUUGUGCUGCAGCUCAGCAGCAUGGCCAUAGCCCUGCAUUGCCCCUGAGCAGCAUAGCCCUUGGGCUGCUCACGCUGGCUGUGGGGCCACGCUCCUUUCCAGUCCUGCUCCUCUCGGUCCUGCAGCUGCUGUCUCUCUGGUGUGGAAAUGGCCAUUGUAACAGGACCCUAUGUUUUGAAGCGAGCAGAGUUUUAAUAUGAAGAAUGCUGGAUUUUACAAUAUAUAUAUGUGUGCGUGUGUAAGUAUAUAUGAAAAGAGGGAGAAAGAGACUUUGUAUGUACACACAUGCAUGCACAUAUUUAUUUACAAAGACUGCACCUUUUAAAGGUAAAGUAGUUUAUAAAAACAGCAGUGAGAUGGAGUCAGACUUCAGGGUGUAGCACUUGAGCUCUGGUCUCUGGCAUCAUGUUUCUUGUUAGCCUCAGUAUUCUCAGUUGAAAAGUCAUUUAUAUUGAUAUUAUUACCAGCCACCAGACUCAUAGCUGCGAUGUAGAGGUUAAUUAGCUACGAAGUUUGGAAUAUCAUAGAAGAUGAAGAGUGCUAUAGUGUGUUGCUGCUAUGUUGCUGUUUAUUUCUGCAGUAGGUCUGGCUGACAGUGCACUGUGUACUGCUGUGUGCUGGUGCAAGCGCAGGUCCAUGUCCCCCCUGUGCUCUCCAGUUCAGAAGCACUGAGGUACUGAGGAAUAAUCAAAGGGAUUUGGUAAUAGUACCUUAAAGAACUGGUACACCAAAACUGUAAAGUUGCUGCAGGUAACAUCCUCUUGGUUAUCCUUGAUUUGCCAGAUGUACCUGCUGACCGGGCACGUGCUCGUGCCAGCUGCACGGUAAGGCAGUGCAAAGCAGGAUCCCCUCGCAUCUUCUUUUCAGUUUGUUUUCUGGGGGAGACAUGACUCCCUUUCCUCCUCCCCACCUUCUCUGCACUUGCUGCUUCUCUGGCCAGGACGACUGGCGUGGGCGGCACGUCCCCCUGAGCACUGUGAGAAACUCCCUGACUUCCUCCCCCGGAGCCCAAACGUCUCCUUUGAUUUUCCUGAUGUCUGUCACCCUGCCACUGCCAAUGUCCCCAGUGCCAGGGACGCUGCACAUGCAGGAGUGCUUCUUGAAGCAUGAGGGUCAGAGAGAGCCUCUCACAAGCCUGUGUUCACCACUGCUCUCCACAGCCCGGUGGAGACCAGUGGUGGAGGGCUGAAGCUCAGGCAAGCGGUGGCUCUGCCCUGGCUACCCCCCUCUGCGCAGUGACUGCCCCCCCAGCCGCCGGCCUGAUGCUCCUAAAUAUAUGACUGCCUCCAUCUUGUCACCCUGCCACAGCUCACCCUCUGGCUGAUGUGAACGGGUACUAUAUUUACCCAGGAGAGUCAUGAAAAUUGCCAUGACAAUGAUUGUGGUUGCUUGGGAAUGCAAGGAGCUAAUUUUGCCUGGAUAAUAAGACACAGAGUCAUCUGUCUCCCUCGGUAAAGCAAUGAGGAGUUUAUGCAGGAAUGUCCUGGCUUCUCUGAGCAAACAGAAAAGCCAGUCCCAGCAAUGCAACACCCCCCAGAGGCACAGAGAUUUGGAAGAGGAUGGCUUGAUGGACGGGUGCUUCCCCCGCGAGCGCUGGAGCUGUUGACCCGCUGGCCAGGGAGCUCAGUGCCCUGGUGCACACCUCCAUUGCAAAUAACAGCAGGGGGCUGAUUUUGCACAUGGUUUAGAAAGAAGCGAUUUCAGACGUUUGUAGGCUUUUCCCAACCCAGAUGCAGCAGUUCCUCCAGAAAGUUGAGAAAGUGUUUUCUGCCACACCUGACUGCAAGCGGCAUCGAGCGCAUACGUACAGGCACAAACCCACCCUCCCUCCCCGGCGCUUCUUCGCUGCAGCACAGCGGUUUAAGGCAGCUUGCAGCUGUGUCUGAGGCACUUCUCUGCUCGGUUGCAGGCUGUGGGAGCAAUUAGCCUUCAAAGGCUUUGGUCAGACUCAGUCAAGGGUACUGGUGGCUUUAAAACUGCUCCCAGGAAUUAGAUAAACAGUCUCUUAGGGCUCAGAAGAAAUCUUUCUCUCACUCUUAAAAUUUUUUUUGGUGUCUUGCACUUCUAGUAAGUGACAGUUUUGCAAAUUGCUAGUAAAGAACUUAAAUGUCUAAUUAAAUCUCGAAGAUGUACAAGAGUUUGAAGAGCGUGAUUGAUGCCCACAAAGGUAUGGCUGCCUAAUGGAGUCGUCCUGACAGCAAUCGCGAAAGCCCAUUUAACGGCUGAUGUCUUGUUGUGAUCCAUGUUGUCAUUUUUUCAUUACUGAUUAAAAUUAAAAAUCUGCUUGGCAAAUCCAUUGUAAAAAUUUCCUUCAUGAAAAUCGACGGGUACAAAUUAUUUUGUCAAUCGCCUGGCAAUCAAACUGUGACUGAAGACUGUUUCAUGCCCAUAGAUUUUUAUAUAUUUUUUUUCUUUUUGCUCAUGCCAGUGAAUUUUCAUAGCAAAGUUUUUUAAGCGUAGGUGGCAGUCUUGGCAAUGCUUAAUUUUUUUUUUUAAAUAAAUAAAGCUGCAGUUCUAUAUUUUAAUGAAAUGUUUUGUUUAUGUUGUCUUUCCAUUCCCAUUUGAAAGCAAAUAGGAACGUUCCUCACUCUGGAAGUUAGGCUGUGCUACUUAAUUGUCUAAUGCCAUGUAAUGACAGGUGAAUAAUAGUAAUAAAAGCCUUUAUUAGGGUAAAAUCUGUUUUGAGAGUGGAAGCGUAAACUGUCUAAAAUGUAAAACUGAAAAAAAAAGGAAAAAGCCAACCAAGCCUCUCGACGCUACAUCACUUAUAGCUAGAAGAUAUUUAUGGCUCCACUUCUUGGUGGGGUUUCCAGCUCGCUGUUCCCAUAUGCAGGUGCAACGGACCUGGGUGAGCUACCCUGGGGUGAGCUUGGCACCUCACCAGGGCCAGGCUGUAAAUCCCCUGCAAGGGCUGAGUUGGGAUGGCAAAGUGGGGUGGGGUUGUGAAUGAGCACUCAUGUAUUCCUUGCAGAAACAGCACUGAGGGCUCGGUAGCAUGUAGUUCACUGUCAGACGAGAGUAAUUUAGAGAUCCUAAUUUCUCUGUAAAAUUCAAAAGAUGCUUUACUCUGGCUAAAAAAACCCGGACAACUCAAGCAGCAAGAAAAGCAUUAUUGUCCCAUUAAUAAAAUUUUUAUUCUACUUAAUUGAUAUUUCCGCUUCUCAUAAUUGAGUCUCA